RNAcentral lists this ribosomal RNA (510 nucleotides) under uncultured bacterium. RNAcentral's name for it is "bacterial SSU rRNA". It matches the Rfam family "Bacterial small subunit ribosomal RNA", at positions 40 to 526 of the family's 1533-position model. The record is from RNAcentral.
AGGCGUGCUUACACAUGCAGUCGAGCGAGGCGGAGGGGGGCAACUCCUUCCAGUCGAGCGGCGGACGGGUGAGUAACACGUGGGUAACCUGCCCGGAAGUGGGGAAUACCUCGGAGAAAUUCGAGCUAAUACCGCAUGACAUCUUUGGGACGAAAGUCCUGACGAUCAAAGCGGGGUCGCAAGAUCUCGCGCUACCGGAUGGGCCCGCGCCCGAUUAGCUAGUUGGUGAGGUAAUGGCUCACCAAGGCUUCGAUCGGUAACCGGCCUGAGAGGGCGAUCGGUCACACCGGAACUGAGACACGGUCCGGACUCCUACGGGAGGCAGCAGUGGGGAAUCUUGCGCAAUGGGCGAAAGCCUGACGCAGCAACGCCGCGUGGAGGAUGAAGGCCCUUGGGUUGUAAACUCCUGUCGGCUGGGAAGAAAUCGUUCAGUGGCUCAUACCCACGGACGUUGACUGUACCAGCAAAGGAAGCCCCAGGUAACUCUGUGCCAGCAGGCCGCGGUAAUAC